RNAcentral lists this unclassified non-coding RNA (332 nucleotides) under uncultured fungus. RNAcentral describes it as "sequence contains ITS1". Lineage: Eukaryota; Fungi. The record is from RNAcentral.
UUGGUCGUUUCGUUUUUACAGUUUGGCCAAAGGCCUAGUGUAAGUUUACAAAUCAGUUUGGUCAAACCGCACACUCGACAGACCCAGAAAGGUCCAAUCUCAUGGGGGGAUGAAAAAGUGAUUAACAGCAGCGCCACCCAAGUAAGCAAUAGCAGGGCUAGCCCGCCACCACCAACCGAGGAGACACUACCAAAAGUUGUAAAGUUCGCGGGACAACAAAACAGCUUCCGAAGAAGCCGCUUCGCUUCCCGACCAAAGCCUAAAAAAAGACUCGGCCGGGAAAGGUUGGCAAGGGUGUGGUAAUGAUCCUUCCGCAGGUUCACCUACGGAAA